AUGCAGGAGAUUGUUUGCGGAUGUUCGGGAAACCCAGAAGCAGAGAACAACCAUUCUUGCAGAUGUGAGUGUCCGGCACUGAUCAGGCUUCUACGAGCGGACGACAAGAGUUGGUUCAUUACUGAGCAUCAUGAGAAACAUAACCACUCAAUGUCGCUAACUAUGGGGGAGAAGGUGCAUUGGCCAUCGCAAAAACGCAUAUAUUUGUAUACUAAGGAUCUGGUAAAGGCAGAACAAUGUAAAUCGAGGGAAAACUUACAGCAUCAUCGGAAGCUUUUUUGGGUCUAUGGAAAAUUUCCCUUUCACUAA
This 309-nucleotide ribosomal RNA is filed under the name Triticum aestivum (bread wheat). RNAcentral's name for it is "partial small subunit ribosomal RNA". Lineage: Eukaryota; Viridiplantae; Streptophyta; Magnoliopsida; Poales; Poaceae. The record is from RNAcentral.